AAGUCUGACCGUACGAGUACAGACAACGGCAGACUCGAUAUCUGGUGGUGACACUGAGGAAAGACCCUUCAGAUUGCUUCCGUUUCCUCAGUUAAAUAGGAAGCAAAGUCAGCAGCUAAGAGUGACGAUGGGCGGAAGUGACGCCAGAGAUCUGAGAAAGAGAACUACGGGGGAACUGAAGUAGGUGCUGAACCCUCCUUGCGGCCGGUGGCCAUCGAUGCAGAGAAAGGCCAGCAGCAUGGAAGUGUGUUCGCCUCCAGCCACAUUCAGCCGCUCAGGCAAUGCUCAGAGCAGCCUGAGGAGGGGAUCUUCAGAGCUGGGGUUUUGCCAGUAUACUCCACAGUCAUCUGGGAGCACAGCAUUACUGACCAAGAUGCUUUUCCAAUCAGGACCAAAGCCUGACAUUCCUUCCAGUGAGUACUAAAGAGACACCUCAUUCAUUUGCAGGUUUUCAUUGUGGAAAAUGUUAAGCAUAUAAAAAAAAGAGAGAGAGACCAUAGUGAAUAGCCAACUCUAACGACUGCCAGCUUAUCGCCAACCUGCUUCCAAUGCUCCCCAUCGGCUUCCCCACCCCGAUUACUUAAAGCGUCACAUCAGACAUCAUGUCAUCUCGCUCAGCACUAUUUUUAGUUUAGAGUGAGGGCAACACAUCUUUAAGGGUUUAUCGGUUUUUUAAGUAAGUGCCUUUGAUUCAAUCUAGGGGUGAGGGUCUUUUGCAGUUACACGAUCUAACUUCAAGAUCCAGGAUCGCUUUUUUCUAAAGGGCCCCUUGCAUUACGGCAGCUGCGGAUCUACCAGCUGGAGAGGCGGGGGCGGGG
Delphinapterus leucas (beluga whale) is the source of this 818-nucleotide long non-coding RNA. RefSeq lists it as uncharacterized. The record is from RefSeq and is a predicted model, not a curated record. NCBI's taxonomy places the organism in Eukaryota, Metazoa, Chordata, Mammalia, Artiodactyla, Monodontidae.